AACGAACGCUGGCGGCAGGCUUAACACAUGCAAGUCGAACGCCCCGCAAGGGGAGUGGCAGACGGGUGAGUAACGCGUGGGAAUCUACCCAUCCCUACGGAAUAACGCAUGGAAACGUGUGCUAAUACCGUAUACGCCCUACGGGGGAAAGAUUUAUCGGGGAUGGAUGAGCCCGCGUUGGAUUAGCUAGUUGGUGGGGUAAAGGCCUACCAACGCGACGAUCCAUAGCUGGUCUGAGAGGAUGAUCAGCCACAUUGGGACUGGGACACGGCCCAAACUCCUACGGGAGGCAGCAGUGGGGAAUAUUGGACAAUGGGCGCAAGCCUGAUCCAGCCAUGCCGCGUGAGUGAUGAAGGCCUUAGGGUUGUAAAGCUCUUUCACCGGAGAAGAUAAUGACGGUAUCCGGAGAAGAAGCCCCGGCUAACUUCGUG
Molecule: ribosomal RNA, 431 nt
Filed under: uncultured bacterium
Lineage: Bacteria
Description: partial 16S ribosomal RNA
Rfam family: Bacterial small subunit ribosomal RNA
Source: RNAcentral